UACAGAGGCCCCAAGUGUUGUUCGGAAUUAUUGGGCGUAAAGGGUGAGUAGGCGGAGGGAACAGUCAAAUCAAAAAUCCAGACGCUCAACGUUUGAUUCGGAUUCGAUACUUUCCCCCUAGGGCACUAAAGAGGGCGCUUGAAUUCACAGUGUAGCAGUGAAAUGCGUAGAUAUUGUGAGGAACACCAAUGGCGAAAGCAUGCGUCUAGUUAGUUGCCGACGCUGAAUCACGAAGGCUAGGGUAGCAAACGGG
This 253-nucleotide ribosomal RNA is filed under the name uncultured bacterium. RNAcentral's name for it is "partial 16S ribosomal RNA". It matches the Rfam family "Bacterial small subunit ribosomal RNA", at positions 524 to 776 of the family's 1533-position model. The record is from RNAcentral.